AGUGAACGCUGGCGGUAGGCCUAACACAUGCAAGUCGAACGGCAGCACAGUAAGAGCUUGCUCUUACGGGUGGUGAGUGGCGGACGGGUGAGGAAUACAUCGGAAUCUACUUUUUUGUGGGGGAUAACGUAGGGAAACUUACGCUAAUACCGCAUACGACCUACGGGUGAAAGCAGGGGAUCUUCGGACCUUGCGCGAUUGAAUGAGCCGAUGUCGGAUUAGCUAGUUGGCGGGGUAAAGGCCCACCAAGGCGACGAUCCGUAGCUGGUCUGAGAGGAUGAUCAGCCACACUGGAACUGAGACACGGUCCAGACUCCUACGGGAGGCAGCAGUGGGGAAUAUUGGACAAUGGGCGCAAGCCUGAUCCAGCCAUACCGCGUGGGUGAAGAAGGCCUUCGGGUUGUAAAGCCCUUUUGUUGGGAAAGAAAAGCAGCAGGUUAAUACCCCGCUGUUCUGACGGUACCCAAAGAAUAAGCACCGGCUAACUUCGUG
Molecule: ribosomal RNA, 492 nt
Filed under: uncultured bacterium
Lineage: Bacteria
Description: partial 16S ribosomal RNA
Rfam family: Bacterial small subunit ribosomal RNA
Source: RNAcentral